Long non-coding RNA from Symphalangus syndactylus (siamang), 903 nucleotides. RefSeq lists it as uncharacterized. The record is from RefSeq and is a predicted model, not a curated record. Lineage: Eukaryota; Metazoa; Chordata; Mammalia; Primates; Hylobatidae.
CCGGGGCUGCUGGGGACGAACGUGGCGGGUCAGGCCCCGAAGCCCGGGCCGCGGUGGCCGCCUCAGGCACCAACUCUGGGGUGGGGGUGGGAGGAUCUUUCGGGACCGAACUCGCCCCAGCCUCCCUCUUUCUGCUCAAUUGCAAAGCUCCUUUCCCCUGCUGCCUUUGCAUAUUCAUUCUUUCCAGAAAGGCGCCACAUGCAUAUUUCUGCCGUGGCCCCAGAUCCUCCCCUCACCGCCGUUUUGAGCGUUUACACUCAUUACCCAGGUCCGUCUGGGAGACCUGCCGGGCUCCUGCCCUCCUGGCCCGCAGCCUCCUGGCCAAAAUCCUCCCGGGACACCCCACCUGCACUGCUGUGAACGGACCUCCACCUGCCUCCCCAGACCCGCAGCCCCCACCCCGCUCCCUCAAGGUUCUGGGGUGAAGGGGUCUGAAUGGCACUAGGGGAGGCGGCAGGGCGAGCCUGUCCUACCUGCGCCCGAGCACUGCUGAGACAACAUGCCUUCCAGGGCCGCCACGUAGUCCAGCCCCAGCCAGUCGCGGUCCUGGAAGCACCGCAAGCAGACCUGCUUCUCACUGGCCUCAGGCAGGGUCACCCGCCCGGUGCCGCUUGCUGCAAAUUGCUUUACAUACAGUGACCCAAAGAGCAAAUAUCUCCCCACAAACCUAAACAAUUUCGAGAGAGACUUGUGUUCUGCAACCAGUCACAGAAUAUCGGGUGAGCUGGGCGUGUCUUCACUGACCCACCCGCCCAGGGAUGCUGCACUCCUCUCCACCCUGCUCAGAAUCACUGGAAUGUGGCUACAGCCCUAAAAGAGCUACUAAAAAGACCAGAAGUAGUAUGAGAACUUAUGAAUACAAAUAUAAAUAAAGGACAUGUGGAGAACAUGCAUGAAUAUCUA